Long non-coding RNA from Sander lucioperca (pikeperch), 161 nucleotides. RefSeq lists it as uncharacterized. The record is from RefSeq and is a predicted model, not a curated record. Lineage: Eukaryota; Metazoa; Chordata; Actinopteri; Perciformes; Percidae. The transcript is spliced from 3 exons.
UUGCAACUGAGGAGGGUCUGGCUGUCAUGGCUCAUUGUUGUGUCUCUGCCUUCUCCUUCUCCUAGGCUCCACAUCUCCUGGUUUGGGUUUGUGUCACCUGUUGCAGUCGUCAUUUAUCCACACAUCCUUCACUCACCCACACACCUCACACACUACUGAUA